AGUAGUCCACGCUGUAAACGAUGGGUACUAGGCAUUGGAGGCUCGACCCCUCCAGUGGUGUAAGCUAACGCGUUAAGUACCCCGCCUGGGAACUACGGUCGCAAGACUAAAACUCAAAGGAAUAGACGGGGACCCGCACAAGCGGUGGAGCGUGUGGUUUAAUUCGACACUAAGCGAGGAACCUUAUCCAAGGCAAGACGCUAGGAGAACGUCUCUGAAAAGAGACCGUGCCUGCUUGCAGGAACUCUUAGAUCAGGUGUUGCAUGGCUGUCGUCAGCUCAUGUCGUGAGAUGUUCGGUUAAGUCCGGGAAUGAGCGCAGCCCCUGUCUCAUGUUAUUAUGUCAUGAGAUACUGCCGGCAAAUAGUCGGAGGAAGGUGGGGAUGACGUCAAGUCCGUAUGGCCUUUGAUGCCUUGGGCUACACACGCGCUACAAUGGAUGGUACAAUGGGUUGCGAAGUGGUAACACGGAGCUAAUCCCACCAAAGCCAUUCUCAGUUCGGAUUGAGGUCUGCAACUCGACCUCAUGAAGUUGGAAUCGCUAGUAACGGCGAAUCAGAACGUCGCCGUGAAUACGUUAUCGGGUCUUGUACUCACCGCCCGUCACAUCAGAAGAGUCGGUAAUACCCGAAGUUGCUUGUUUACAAGCAACCACGGUAGGACCGGUGAUUAGGAUGAAGUCGUAACAAGGUA
RNAcentral lists this ribosomal RNA (691 nucleotides) under uncultured bacterium. RNAcentral describes it as "bacterial SSU rRNA". It matches the Rfam family "Bacterial small subunit ribosomal RNA", at positions 789 to 1498 of the family's 1533-position model. The record is from RNAcentral.